ACACUCGAGUGUAGACAUACCGAAACCAUGUUUGGCGAGCUCUGACACAUCAUUCGCAUUAGAACAAUUUGUGAGCUAACUGGUACAUUCUGUUAGGGUUGAGAGUAGGUAGCCGAUCGGCUACGGCCGGAAGUUGUUUCACCUAACCUACAAAAUAACAAAAAGAUUAAUUCGUUGGAUUCGUAAUUGUUUUUAAAUACUGAAGUGAAGUGAAACGAAGAAACCAGUGUGAUUUACGCUACCUCGAAUACAAAACUUUCAAAUAGAAUGUCGAUGCAAGUCAUUGUAUUAAUACAAAAUGGCUGCGACUGAUUCCGAGACAACCAAACACAGCAAGCUCUACACGUUCCGGGAAUAUUUACUAAAUUAUGUAAUCAGUUCAAGUUAACAGUUGAAGUUUGCACACAAAUGUAGGAGAAAAAAAACAAACGAUUUUCCGUUCAGUAGUUAGCAUAAAAAUACAACCAAACGGUAAGCCAUAAGGAAAAGUUCGUCUUUGAUGUUGAAAGCAAAAAGACACAAGAUUACAGAAAAUUUGAAACAAUUUACUAUAGGCAACUGGCAGAAAAACUGAAAGGAAGAUGAAUGGCAGCAAGAGAAGUCACAAAAAGUCACAAUCUCAAAAUCACAUCUACCAUCAAGACAUAUGUUUUGAGCACACCAAUAAAUUGCACACUUAGUUAAUCUCGGCAAACUUCCCAACAGCUGAUCGAGGCCGGCAAAUUUUUUUAACAAAUGUCAGCAUUAUAUUUUGACAAACAUUCAACAAAUAUAUCGAUCUACCGUAAACCAGACAUCGAAAUUUCGUUUACCGAAGUUCUUGAAAAUUCUGCCGAAAAUUUGAAGAACAUUUCACUAAAAUUAUCAGCUGUUGAGUUAUCGGCAGUAAAAUCUAAGUGUGUGAUGGAGGACUGAUAGUACGGAGGGAAAUCAGUGACUGUUUUACUGACAAAAAAACGAGAAGGAUACAGUGGAUGAUUGAUUAUGGCAUCACUCGCUCAGAAAAUCUUCGAUCCAUUUUCACACAUGGAGGGCAGAGCAUCGCGUUCAAUGGCGCCAAUUGCAAGUAAUGUUAUAAGAAAAUUAUUUCGGAUACACGUCUUAGGGUUUUUGAGUUAAGGUUCAGAAUAUACUUAUUUAGGUAUUUUGUUGCAAUGUUAGUAAGUUAAAAUCAGAAGAUUCUUCGAUUGAUAGUUAUUUGUUUUAGAGAAGCUGGUUAUUUCUAAUGAUCAUGGUCUAGUAGUUUGUAAUGUUCACCUAAAUUGACGGAGGAUACCAUAAAAUUGUUAUCGUUCUAAAUCAUACAGAACUGCAACAAAGUUUGCACCUUAGAUUAUGGUAAUUCAGGAGGUGCUUACCGUAGGA
Long non-coding RNA from Wyeomyia smithii (pitcher-plant mosquito), 1365 nucleotides. RefSeq lists it as uncharacterized. The record is from RefSeq and is a predicted model, not a curated record. NCBI's taxonomy places the organism in Eukaryota, Metazoa, Arthropoda, Insecta, Diptera, Culicidae. The transcript is spliced from 3 exons.